GAUAUAACUUCUUAUACACUUGAGAUAUUGUAUUUUUGUAAAUUUCUAAGAAAUAUAGACGUUAAUAGCUUUCUAAAAAGGUAAAGCUCGUAUUUUUCCUUGAAGCGAUUGAUUUUAUAUGAUUUUCCAAAGUUAGGAUUCAAAUGUGUAUGUGUCUUGAUUAAACUUGUGAUUGGUAGUUAAUUGAGAUCCUACACUACUAAACUUGAAUUGAGGUUUUAUUGUUCUAACUACCUAUUGAGGAUUAUUGAUUACUAAAGCUUGUUAAUAUGAUAGUUGAUGGACAUAAUUAUGUUUAUAUGAUUAAUUACUUUGGGAUUUUGUGUUUUACAUGUAUGGUUAGUUGUAAACUGAUCUCUAUGGAAUGGAUUUGUUUACUUCUAAACUUUCUCAAGUAGAGGAAUUCCUAUAAGAUAGGAAUAUUAGUUUAUACUUUCUUAAAGUUCAUAAGAGUUAGUAUAUUGGUUAGUUUAGUUGAUUCAACCCUAGCUCUGCAGAAGAUUAAAAGUUUAUUGGGAUGUUAUUUAUAGCUAAUUCUUCUUAUCUAGUUAUCCAAUCUUAUUUUAGAAUCUUGCUAUUAUGAAGGUGACAGUAGCAAUGAUAGAUAAGUGAGCAAGAGUUUCUACAUCGUUAAGCGUAUCAGGUGGGCUUUCUAAACUCAUAAUUUGAAGUGCGCACUAUUUAAUUAUGUUAUUAUAUGAAUGAAGUUAUAUUAAAGUUAUUGACUUGCCAAAACUUUUAUGAGCUUGUAUGUUACCAUCUACGAGAGAUAGACGAUAUCGGCCCUAUGCUGAAGCGAGAUGUCAGUAAGGGUUUGUGCACAUAGUUGUGACCGUGAGUCAUCGAGCGGGUUGGCCGGUCACUGUGAUCGGGAGCCUUCGGGCCGAUCACUGUGUUUGAGAAGGAGGCCUACUUCUCAACACAAGGUUACAUGAUGCGUAGUUAUGGUACAUACAUGUUAAUUGUCUGCAGACGUAUAUGAUAUUAUGAUGAUAUAUAUAUAGAAGUUUUACAGUUUUGGCGUGCACAGGUUAUUUAAAUAAAACUCCUGUGUGAUGCUUGAGAUGGCAAGUUCAAUAUAUAGCUCUAAGAGCAAACUUUAAAGUUAUUUCGGCAUGUGACCAUUGAGUACCUUUUUAGUACUCAGCCCUGCAUAUGUUUCUAAAUGUGCAGGUUAAGCUGUGAUGCAGAUGGAGGCGAGCAGAGCAAAGCUUUUGAAGUAUAAGUAUUAAAUUAGGCUCAGGAUUUCAUGUCUUCAUACAUGUAAUCCACUUAAGUUAUUCCGCUGCAACACUUAGUGUAUUUUACUUUAUUGAUGUGUUGUACAGAUUUUAAACCAAUAGCUUCGAAAAUUAUGUCACUUGAAAAUUUGACAACUUGUCGUUAUGUAUUGUGAGUUGUCUGCUUUGAGUUUUAGAAAAGAUUGUUUAUGAUUACCAAAUAUUUAGGUAAAUUAUUGUUUAAGCAAGAUGAUUAUUUUUAUUGAAACCUCUUUUAUUUUCCAUUUUCUUUUUCCAUUUCCCCAGUCACAUUUUCCCCGGCUUAACUGUUGUUAGCUUAGGUCGGGCUGUGACAGAGUGGUAUCAGAGCAGGUCAUUUGCUCUGAGCCUAAAUAUCCUUUUGAGUCUAGUCUAAAUUUGAAUCUUUGGACUAGUAUGAGUAAUAUAGUAAAAGCUCUGCUCUCCAUCUCAUCCAGCUUAGCCAGGUACGGAUUUUUCAGAGUUUUAAAGUAGCAUGUUACAUUUUUAAACAAGUUUGAGAUAUGAGUUGCAGUUUUGCAAGUAUUAGUAUGAUGGAAACUUAUAUAUUUUAAAAUGAGCAUGGACAACAUGAGUUAUUUUUGAGUAUCCUCUGCCUAUACGAACUUUUGGAUUUGAAUGGAUAAAAGUGUUAUUCAUAUAUUAAUAUUUAUAUUUUGAUAUGUGGAUGGAGAUAUAGACAGUUUGAUGAUACAAUAAUGAUGUAUAUCAGUCGCGAUGUAACCUAGUACUAGUAGUGAUGUUAUACAGUUAGGGCACCACAAUUAGUACUAAGAGCUUUUUGCAACAUAUAUUCCUAUCUUUCGUAUGAGAACUCAUUGAGGCAAAUUUUCCCAUGAUAUGAAACGACCGAAGUAGUCAUUUACUAGGUUGUUGAGCUUUAAUUGCUUAGAUGAUUGAAAUUUUGUGUAUGAGUUUUAUACUUUAGUUGGUUUAUAGUUAUGUAGCAGUUUGACUUUACGGAUGGAAUAAAAGCUCAAUUAUGGGGAUUUUGUGUAUUUACUCGGCAUGAUAUCUCAAAGAAGAAAUGGAAAUUUGCCAUCCGCCAUGUGAAUAAUUUAGAGGAAAGUUUUUCAUCAUCAAGAUCCCCCUAUUCAUAGUAGAGUUUCACGAGUUUCGCUUCCUUAGAUGCAAUGAUCAAGAGCGCCUUCUUGUAUGUUAUUUCAACUACAAGGAUCGACUGAUUCUUAGUGGGAGACGAAGCAGAAGAUACAUACCCUCGAGCGAUUAGAGAAUCUUAUUUGGGGCCACGUCACAGAAGUUUCUAUGAAGAACAUGUUCCCAGAAGCUACCAUAAGCAAAUGAAGAUGAUCGUGGUUGAAUAUGAUUGAGAGUUUUGAGACAUAUCUCGAUAUACGCCUUAUAAGGUUGAAACAUAGAGUAGUUGUAACUUUUGAUAGAGUUUUGAUGUAGUGCCUUUACUUGUUGGCAAACCAAAUAUUCUUUCAGCUAUUGCAAGCCAAACAUUCCUUCAACUAAUGAAGAUAUCUCUUUUCCAUUUCAUCCCUCCCACCAAAAGUUUUGUUUGAAAUCUUGAUAUAAUUUAGUGCUUCUGUGGUGGGCAGUAUAUAGCGUAUCAUGAGCUUUACUCGUGAUUUUAUUUCUCAACUGUUCAGUAUUGGGUACACAACUUUUCUCAAACAUGAUAGCAGUACCCCUAGCUUUUUGGCAAGUAUUGACCCCUUCUAUCAAAAUCCUUACCCAUAAUUUUUCUCCUUUUUAUUUUCCCCAUGUACUUUAACAAUUCUUCUUCUCAAAUCAAAAAUCAUUGUUAACAUUGCAAUUACAGCUUCUCUUGUUUGCUGUGGUAGAACCAUUUGUAAAUCCAACUUUCAAAUCCUUGAUGAGAAUUUUUCUUCAUGGGUAAGGAGAAAUCCUUAGUAAACUUGAGUUUUUCUACUCAAGGCAUCCACUACUAUAUUGGCUUUGCGUGGGUGAUAAUUUAUUCUACAAUCAUAGUCCCUUACUAAUUCGAGCUAUAUUCCUUGUCUCACACUUAGAUCUUUUGCUCGAAUAAGUAUUUUAAACUUUUAUGAGGUGUAUCAAUUCCACAUCUCGUUUCAGAAUACCAUUGUUGCUAGUUCCAAGUUAUGUUGAGCAAUUCAGUUCUUGUGGUCUAUGUUCUCAUGACCCAAUAACAAUAACUCUUUCACUUUGCAACAAUGCACAACCAAGUCCAUCUUUGAUACACAGGACCAAUUUUAUAUGGUCUUUCAACUUUGAGAAUUCGGCCAUAUUUUAAAAUAGCCUUUCAUCCAACAACAGAUGAGCAAUUUGAGAGAAAUCUUUAAACCUUAGAAGAUGUGACAUAGACUAUUGUACUAGAGCGAAGAAGUGGCGACCUUAGCAGUAGGGACACUGGCGAUCGUAAGAAAUUCUGGGUUCCAAAACUCUCUUUCCAAAAAUGAUUUUUCAGAAGGAGCGAAUUCCCCGCAAACAAGGCAGGAGACGACUAUCUCAAGGUGCAUCACGCGUACUCAGAAGCCGCAUUAUGCACUAGCUUGAAGGAUGAAUUGGGAAAACCUUUUGCUAGUAAUUGAAUUGGCCUACAAUUAUAGCUUUCGGGCAAUAAUUGAUAUGACACCAUAUGGAGCUUAUUGUGGAAAGAAAUAUUGAUCUCCACUCUAUUGACAUGAGGUAAGUGAAAGAAAAGUAACAGGACCUGAUGCGCUUGAAGAAAUGAUUACGCUUAUCCGACAAAUUCAACAACUGCUCAACGAACCUCAAGAGCGACAGAAAUUUUUUUUUUUUUUUUUUUUAGAUACUCGUUGAUUUGAUUUGAAAUUUUUGAAAUAGGGGAUGAAGUUUUUCUCAGUGUUCCGCAUUCUAAGAAUGCACAAAUUCGAUGUGAAAGAGAAGUAUCUAGCAUUAUUCUCUGACGUAGUCAAAUUUCGAGGACGAAAUUUCUUUAAGGGGGAGAGGAUGUAACACCCAGCAUUUUCACUACAGUAUAUAUAUUAUUUUCUAUUAUCUAAAAGAAGAAAGAGAAGUAGAAUCACUGAGAUGAGAUGAGAUAUUAUUAUAAUACCUUGAGCUUUUAAUUCAAUGAUUGCAUAAUUUGAAUAAUUAAGUAUUCUUGCUUUCUUUAUUAUUUUCAUUCUUGGAAGCAAGUUUAUAAUUCCUAGUUAAAGGGAUUAUUUUAUUAUUUUUCAGAGAUGAGAUUGGUGAUAAAUACGAAAUAUUAUUAGUCGACUUAUUGCUCGGCUAAUUGAAGUGACGGAUGUUAUUUAAUUAUUUAUCUAUGAGUUUUUUUUUUUAAUAGUGAUAGUUUGAGGAAAUUUAGUAUAUGUAUAUAGAAUUGUAUUAUAUUUCAUUGGGUGUAUAAUAAUUUAUUAAUUUAGAUAGCUAUCAAAUACUACUUGAGCUUGGAGCACAAGUUUCGUGAGUCAUAUUAGUGUAGAGAAUUGCUUUUCUAAUUUAUUCUUAUUUUAUUUGAUCUAAUUUUGAGGGCACAAAAUACUUAAGGAAAAGCCAAGUUUCCUCAUAUUAUGUAGAGAAUUGCUUUUCUAAUUUAUUCUUAUUUUUAUUUGAUCUAAUUUUGAGGGCCACAAAAUAAGGCUUAUAGGAAAAGCCAAGUUUUCCUCUUAUUAUUUAUUUCUUCUACAAACCUCAAAUGGGCCGAUCAGUAAGGGAAAUGAGGUUUGAAUUAUAUUGCUCAUUUCUAUAAUUGGAUUUAAAUUUUUAAUGUUUGAGAUAAGCAUUUAUUUAUUGUAAAGUGUAUAUAUUAGUUUGAGGAGAUUCAUUUCCUUUUCUUCUCCCCAAAACAGUCGACCUUCUCCCCUCUCUCUUUAUGGAACCUCAGUUUGAGUUUACUUUCAACCUUCAAGAAGAUUCAGCCGCCGCCUCUGCUCCGACCGUCGUCGGCUGCCGUCGGGUCCAAGUCCGGCGUCUCGUCUGUUCUUCCCUGGUGCCCCUCGCACUACUCUCAUCUUCUCUCAAUUUAGCGAAGAACCCAAAUGAGAAGCCCUAAUUUCAAAAUCCGAAAUCGCCGUCACCCGAGCCCGAAAUUCGGCAAUACAGCAGCCUCCUCUUCAACGUGGUCGAAGUUCUCGCACCGGAAGUCCUCGCCGUUCCCCCUCUUUUUCGAUGUGGAGCCCUAAUUAUUAGAAGAAGGAAAUUACUACUGUCGCGACUGGAAGGCCAACGAACGGCUGAGCUUCGCCCAUCUCUGCCUUGAAUCCAUGCUCGAGAAUGAGAGAAAGGGAAACGAGCUCUAAUUCUUUUCUACUCCCGCCGUCAUGGUUCGGCUGCCACCUCCGCCGUCUGUGGAAGACCGGCGAUUCAGCGGCGCCGCUCCAUUCACGACGCCGCUACUGCUGCUACACGAUCCCCUCCGAGGCAGGAAGCGCUGCUGUCAUCAUCGUCGUCUUGGCUCGACUGAACAGGGUAGCGUCCCUCGUCGUCGAAAAGUUAAGUAUUCUACUUGUUAUUGUAGAAAGUGUUUGAUGUUGCUUGUGAUUUCUGAGUUCAUGCCAUAAUAAUCGAGGCAUAGGUGACUUCUCUCUAAGAUUCCUAAAGUGAGAUAUUAAACAAAAUGUUAUAUGUUUCUAAGUUAGUAAUUACUUUAAAUUAAGUAAAAUGAUGGCAGGAAUCAUAGCUUCAGCCCAAAGCUUCGAUUUUUGACCCUCCCUCAAGAACCCCAGAAUUUCAUCUUCUUUAUAUUUGUAUCAAUUGACUAUGUAUACAUGUCUAUAUGUAUGUGAAGAAUUGAUUGGGAUUUUAUUUGGGUAUUUAUUCACAAGAAAACAUGAUUCCCUAAUAGUUUAGUUUAAGUGGAUUUGGGAGUUCUUGGAAUAAGCUAGCUACAUGUUUGAUGCUUGUGUAAUUGUACUCCUUGAAUUGUAAAAUGAGAUUAUAUGACAAUAGUUGGAGGAUAUCAAGCAUGCUACUAUAUGUUGAUGUGUUGAACAUGAAUUACGUUUAAGCUAAAGCAUGCUAAUGUGUAGUAAGAUGAUGUAUUUGAGUUACUAUAGCUUUUAUUUGAUAAAAAUAUGAGUUAUAUGUUGAGUUGAGAUGAAGAAGGUAUUGCUGUUGGUUUUGCUGUACAGGACAGUACCUUGUAAGGUAUUUUCGGGAGUGUUCCUGUGUUCGAAAUGAUUUGAAAUUUUUACAGUAAUUACUUCAUUAUGAGUAUUAGAUCUCUGCAAAAUUUCAGCUAAAUCCGAGACCAAUAGACAUGUCAAACUAUUUUCUGAAAUGUACUGCACGGAGCAGCAGAGUUCAGUGCAGAUUCUGUCUUUGGUCAUAUAACUUCUUAUCCACUUGAGAUUUUGUGUUUUUGUAAAUUUCUGAGAAAUAUAGACAUCAAUAGCUUUCUAAAAAGGUAAAACUCGUAUUUUUCCUUGAAGCGAUUGAUUUUAUAUGAUUUUCCAAAGUUAGGAUUCAAAUGUGUAUGUGUCUUGAUUAAACUUGUGAUUGGUAGUUAAUUGAGAUCCUACACUACUAAACUUGAAUUAAGGUUUUAUUGUUCUAAUUACCUAUUGAGAAUUAUUGAUUACUAAGCUUGUUAAUAUGAUAGUUGAUGGACAUAAUUAUGCUUAUAUGAUUAAUUACUUUGGGAUUUUGUGUUUUACAUGUAUGGUUAGUUGUAAACUGAUCUCUAUGGAAUGGAUUUGUUUACUUCUAAACUUUCUUAAGUAGAGGAAUUCCUAUAAGAUAGGAAUAUUAGUUUAUACUUUCUUAAAGUUCAUAGAGUUAGUAUAUUGGUUAGUUUAGUUGAUGCAACCCUAGUAGUUUAUUGGGAUGUUAUUUAUAGCUAAUUCUUCUUAUCUAGUUAUCCAAUCUUAUUUUAGAAUCUUGCUAUUAUGAAGGUGACAGUAGCAAUGAUAGAUAAGUGAGCAAGAGUUUCUACAUCGUUAAGCGUAUCAGGUGGGCUUUCUAAACUCAGAAUUUGAAGUGCGCACUAUUUAAUGAUGUUAUUAUAUGAAUGAAGUUAUAUUAAAGUUAUUGACUUGCCAAAUUAUUUUAUGAGCUUGUAUGUUACCAUCUACGAGAGAUAGACGAUAUCGGCCCUAUGCUGAAGCGAGAUGUCAGUAAGGGUUUGUGCACAUAGUUGUGACCGUGAGUCAUCGAGCGGGUUGGCCGGUCACUGUGAUCGGGAGCCUUCGGGCCGAUCACUGUGUUUGAGAAGGAGGCCUACUUCUCAACACAAGGUUACAUGAUGCGUAGUUAUGGUACAUACAUGUUAAUUGUCUGCAGACGUAUAUGAUGUUAUGAUGAUAUAUAUAUAUAUAGAAGUUCUACAGUUUUGGCGUGCACAGGUUUUUUUUAAAUAAAACACAUGUGUGAU
Molecule: long non-coding RNA, 7548 nt
Filed under: Salvia miltiorrhiza (redroot sage)
Lineage: Eukaryota; Viridiplantae; Streptophyta; Magnoliopsida; Lamiales; Lamiaceae
Description: long non-coding RNA (SMIL_LNC006269)
Source: RNAcentral